UACGUAUGGAGCAAGCGUUAUCCGGAUUUACUGGGUGUAAAGGGUGCGUAGGCGGCACAGCAAGUCAGAUGUGAAAGACCGGGGCUCAACCCCGGGGCUGCAUUUGAAACUGCCGAGCUUGAGUCCGGGAGAGGCAGGCGGAAUUCCUAGUGUAGCGGUGAAAUGCGUAGAUAUUAGGAGGACACCAGUGGCGAAGGCGGCCUGCUGGACCGGAACUGACGCUGAGGCACGAAAGCGUGGGGAGCAAACAGG
Molecule: ribosomal RNA, 252 nt
Filed under: uncultured bacterium
Lineage: Bacteria
Description: partial 16S ribosomal RNA
Rfam family: Bacterial small subunit ribosomal RNA
Source: RNAcentral